Melospiza melodia melodia is the source of this 1904-nucleotide long non-coding RNA. RefSeq lists it as uncharacterized. NCBI's taxonomy places the organism in Eukaryota, Metazoa, Chordata, Aves, Passeriformes, Passerellidae. The transcript has 3 exons. The record is from RefSeq and is a predicted model, not a curated record.
GAGAGGAGGGCAGGUGACUCGGAGUUUAGGCAGGCUGAUUCCUCGGUGAGCGUUAUGAAGCAGCAUGCUAAGUGUGUACAUUUUCUUUUUGCAGGUAUCUUCCGGGCGGCCUCUGGAGUCAAAUCAAGACUUGAGGUACCCUGGGGAGGCUUGUAGCCACAGCUUGGAAGCGGCAGCACCGAAGCACACACAUUGAGAACAUCUCAACGUCCACGUCCGACCGAGGAUGGAUUUUGUCCGCUUGUCUUCCAAAAGCUAAGUGUCGGGGCCAGUGGUUGGGAGAAGGGGAAAAACCUUUACUAUCACAGGAGGCCAUCUGAUGUCAGCUUAGCGGAGAGGUCUGUAGUGGGACAGGCUCCCUGGAAGUAAAGGGAGAGGGUUUCUCCUCAGCCUCACCAGAGCCUUUGCCGGGCAGGGCAGUUCCUACCCAUCUCCACAUUCUCGUGAACUUUGCGUCAUCUGCCUUCCUCGACUUGACGUCGUCAUGGCUCUUUCCUCCGUGGAGCUCGCCUUCAGGUCCGGAGCUGUAGCCGCAGUUACCUGGCAGUCCGCUUCCUUCUCUAGGCUUGCUGAGCCUCUCGAGCAUCCUCCUAACUGCUUUGGCCCUAACUUCCUUUAAUGAGUUACAUUUCAUCAUCACGUGCUGUUGUCAUAGGGCUUCCUUUCCCUUGGCCUCAUUGGCCUCUGGCUCGUCCUGUGCUAGGACUCUCGGGUCCCUAAAGGGAAAGUGCCAAGCAGUUGCAACUUGUCUCUGUGUUAUGUCAUCUGUGUGUAUGUUAUGUUUUCUGUGUUAUGUAGUGUGUGUCCAUUGUCUUCCAUGUCAUAGGCCUUUGUUACAUCGCGAUGCUUGAUCAGCUCUCUUCUGUGCCAUAUAGGCCAUGUUCUACUCACAUUCCUUUCUGGAUAUCACUUAUUCCAGCAUCUUUACAUUUUUACUCUUUGAGACAGGAAUGUCUCACAGGGACAAGAUGUUCUCAUCCAUCUUCGUUCUCACUAUCAGCUUUGGUAGUGGGUUUUUUUCCAUUUUCUUGGACUUCUAGAGGGAGCAUCUUACACCCUCCUCACGUGACUGCAGUAGUUCUAUAGGUUCCAUCUUCUCAAAGGGUACAGGGCUCAAUAAGUAGUCUUCCAGAGAGUUAUCUUAAGUCGUGGUUUAUAUUGUAUGUUCCUAUGUUGGCUUAUAUUGUAUGUACUUAUACUGUAUGUACCUAUGCUGGCUUAUACUGUAUAUACCUAUGUUGGCUUAUACUGUAUGUACUUACAUUGCAUGUACCCAUGUUGGCUUAUAUUGCAUGUACCUGUGUUGGUUUAUAUUGUGUGUACCUGUGUUGGCUUAUACUGUACGUACUUACAUUGCAUGUACUUGUGUUGGUUUAUAUUGUGUGUACCUAUGCUGGCUUAUACUAUAUGUACUUAUUCUGUAUGUACAUGCAUCGCCUUAUAUUGUCUUUACUUACACUGUAUGUAAGCAUGUCGCCUUAUAUUGUGUGUACUUACACUCUAUGUACACUUGCACUGUAUGCAUCAGCUUUUAUUGUGUGUACUUACACUGUACCACUUAUUAUCGGAGCUGCCGUGCCCUGGCACGUAGUCACAGUUAGGUAGAACACUUAUAACAACUUUCCUGUUCAUCUAUCUUUUGUGGGAUUUUGGGUAGAAAAUUUAUCAGUCCAGAGUGGAGACAAGUCCUAGCUGUCAGAUAGCCACUUGUUGCCCCUUCCUGUUGUCUCACAGGUCCCCGAGGCUGCUGAUUUCCCAGGAUCUGCCAUUUAGCUCAAGGAGCGGCAGCCAGAAGAUGUGUCAAAGCACCUUCUUCAGCAUCUCAGGUUUUGCAACUCAUUGUUAAAUUGAGAAUAAAAAAUCCCCAGCCGCCUUCCACCCUGGCUGGUUUUUUUUUUUUUUUU